UACGUAGGGGGCAAGCGUUAUCCGGAUUUACUGGGUGUAAAGGGAGCGUAGACGGCUGUGCAAGCCAGAUGUGAAAGCCCGGGGCUCAACCCCGGGACUGCAUUUGGAACUGUGUAGCUGGAGUGUCGGAGAGGCAGGCGGAAUUCCUAGUGUAGCGGUGAAAUGCGUAGAUAUUAGGAGGAACACCAGUGGCGAAGGCGGCCUGCUGGACGAUGACUGAUGUUGAGGCUCGAAAGCGUGGGGAGCAAACAGG
This 253-nucleotide ribosomal RNA is filed under the name uncultured bacterium. Its description in RNAcentral is "partial 16S ribosomal RNA". It matches the Rfam family "Bacterial small subunit ribosomal RNA", at positions 524 to 776 of the family's 1533-position model. The record is from RNAcentral.